UCCGAUUCAUUUACUUGAUGCGUUUUCGGGCGUCCGAUCGAGCCCUCGGAUGAUCUGGGCCGCCGGAUCAUAACCGAGCCCCUGUAGCAAUGAACAGUUUCACUUCGCGGUAAAUAUCUGCUGCCACCGCCGGUUAAUACAGCACCCCGCCGAGGGCAAUUUUGGGAUUUCACCUAGGCCGGUGGAACGUGCCCUCUCCCGAUUCGCCGCCCUCUCCCCAAUCGAAGAGACGCGUAGGGUUUGACCUCUCCUCGCUUCUUUCCCGCAUGUCUCUCUCUCGCAGUCGUCGUCGCCGCCAGCCAUCCUCCCCAUCGCCCCCUUUCCCCGCCCGUCCCGCUCGCCGUGGCCUUCGCCGAUGACCGCGGCCCUGCGCAGCACAGUGCCGAGCUCAUGAGAAUGAGAGGAGAGGAGCCGCCACCCAACCCAACCCAUCCAACCAAGGAGCCCGUCCCAUCCCACUCCCCACGACGUCUCCCCUCCCAUCUCUCUCGCACCCACCUCGCCGCCGGCCAUGGCCGCCCUCAUCCUCUCCUCCCCUCCCCUCCCCUCCUCUCCUCCUCCCCCGUCAUCAGAAGAGAAGACAAGACGAGAUGGAGGGAGAUCCACCGCGACUCAGCUGGUCAGGCGGCGCGCCCAGAUCCGGCCUUGCUCUGGCCAUCGCCGAUGAGCUGCGCCCAGUUCAGCCAUGGCGCGACCGAGCAGGCGAGGAGGGAGACUAGCUAGGAGUCCCCCCUCUCUCUCUCGGGGGGCGCCGCCCUUCAUCUGCUCCCGCGAUGGCGCCGGAUCCACAUCCACAGCCACGGCGCCGGCACCCAUGGAGUGACCGUGUGCUUCUUCUCCAUGGACAUGGAGCUCCCACAACACACCAUGGAAGGCCUGGAGCUCCUUCUCACAGCAGGUGCACCGCGUACAGGAGGGAAGACCAACGCUCCUCCGGGUCUGCUUCUUCCCGGGUCGCCGUUGCUCCACGGAAGGUAUCACACCCCCUCUCUCAUGCUCUGGUUGUCCCUGAUUCAUGCGCGCAGGUGCACCGCGUACAGGAGGGAAGACCAACGCUCCUCCGGGUCUGCUUCUUCCCGGGUCGCCGUUGCUCCACGGAAGGCGGAAAGUCAUAGAAGAUGGUUCAUUAGCUUCAAACAGAUCAGUGGUUACUGAAUCAGUCUCAAAAUCUUGUUCCUCCGCAGAAGUGAAAGAUGAAGAUGCUGCAAUUGCAGUUGUGAUUGAUGCAGCUGAACUUAAAUGGGGAGAGCAGUCAUUUAGGAGAGGACAAGCUCCUGGAAGGUUUACAUCAGGACGCCAUAAUGGCCAUGGAUCAUCAGAAAGGGAGGCACCUCCACCCGGCUAUGUGUGCCGCAGCUGCGGAGUUCCAGGCCAUUUCAUUCAACAUUGCCCACAGGAAAACCAGAUGCCUCCACCUAGCUAUACCUGCUACAGAUGCCGGGUUCCAGGGCAUUUUAUUCAGCAUUGCCCAACCAUUGGCGGUUCCAAGGCAGUUUAUAUUUACUGUGAUACUCUGAACAUGAGGACCAUGUGGACUAAACUUGCAUGUGGGUGCACCAAGGAGAAGGUCCCACUUAUCAAGGGAUAACAACUAAUUGGUCAGACUUUGUGAAGACAGGGGUUGGAUAAUUUGGAGAAUGUCUUUGCAUUCAAGGCUAAAAGGGGCAAAGUGUCGCUCGUUGUCUACCUGUUUUGACAAGGAAGCUGAAGGUGUUACCAUUCAUGGACAUGGAACAGAAGCUGCCCGGAUAUUGUGACAACAAAUGGAGGUUAAAUCGGGAAGCGAAAGCCAGGUUGGAUACGACCGCAUCGGCAGGGGUGCAGGUUGCGGCAAGCCGCAGCUUCCAUCUAGUCAUAUAGAUUGUCCAGAGUGCGAAGCAGAUCAGAAUUAAUCGUUAGGGUACCUCAACAUCGUUCAAGGCAAGUUUGCACUUUUGAUUUUGCUCAUUGUAUAUUAUGCUAUGCAUGUGUGAUUUUAAGCUAUGGUAAACGUUUGGCCUGAUAUGUGUAUCUCAUGUUGUCAUGUUUGGUAUUGAUUGUGUUAUGUGAUGGUGUGAUCAACUUGCUAUGGUAGACGUGGGCAUGUGUCGAGUGAUCCAUGAUAGUGGUGAGUGUUUAUAGAUGUAGGCUUGGGAUUAUUAAAUAGGUGAAUGCGUCAUUGGCAGAGCGCUCUAUUGUCCCUAGAGAAUGCAUCAUUGACAGAGCACACUUGAGGCGAGGUAUAGUUUUUGGAACUUAAAUCUGGUGAAUGCGUCCUUGGUAGAAUCCCUCUCUCCCGUGCCGUUUCGCCUCGUUCAGAUCUCAAGGGAGUUCACCGCCCUUUGAAGCUUCUGUCGGUCGAUUGCAUCGCUUUUGGAGGUUCCCAGCUUCUCCUCCUGCCCCCUCUCUCCCGUGUUGUUUCGCCUCGUUCAGAUAUCGUCGGAGUUCGCCGCCGUCUGAAGCAUCCAUCGGUUGAUUGCAUCGCCUCUGGAGGGAAACACUACACUGAGUCCAUCGAGCUCGUUCGGAGCUCAACUCCGCUGCCGCCGCUCCAGCCGGUUGCCACCGUUGGGGGAGCAAGCCCCAUUCACCCCUGCGGACGUGUUUGAGUUCACCGACGCCUACGACACCUUGUCCUGCCUUCCUAGAGUCUCGGAGGUCCCUGUAACUGCCGCCAGCUUCAAAUCCAAGCCGCCCUAUGGUCGUCGUCUUCCUCAAGUCCGGAGGCCAGCCCCAGUUUCUCCGGUGAGUCCCUGUCGUCCGUCCGAUCUCCAUCCAACUGAUGUUAUUAGAUCGCCCAUGUUUAUUUAUUUAUUUACCAAAACAUUUUCCGUUAAGUUGCGGCCAUUCGCCGUUUAGCCACAACAGCAAACCACUCCAGCCUAUUACAGUUGCGCCAUGUGACAACGUCACAACAACUGUGGUAGUUCUUCCAGGAACACUGUCAUGGCACAAUUUGUUUCGUAGAUUUCAUAUCAAAUUUUCGUUUAGGUAUAUCUUGAGAUCCAUAACUCUAAAUUCAUCGAUUCUUUUUCCUCAGUACUCGUAGUGACCAGGAGAAUACAGUGGAAUCAAAAUUUCACAUUUUUUGAGCUGUUUAAAUUUGAAUUUGCUCAAAUUUGAAUUUAACCUUCCGGAGGCCAUAUCUUUCAAAUCGUUGAUCCAAAUUAGUUGAUUCUUUUUGCACUGUGAUCCUACUAGCAUGUAGAUAAGAUAUACCUACUAUUAUGGUCUGUUAAUUAUGUUUUUAUUUGAAUUCCUUGCUGUUGACUUUAUUGUGGUUUUAUGUGGGUAUGAUUUAUUUAUCGGUGCCUUUGUUAAUCGUAUAGAUUGUUCGGAGUGCGAAGCAGAUCGGAAUUAAUCGUUAGAGUACUUCAACACCGUUCAAGGAAAGUUUGCACUUUUGAUUUUGCUCAUCCUAUAUUCUGCUAUGCAUGUGUGGUUUUAUGCUAUGGUAAACGUUUGGCCUGAUAUGUGUAUCUCGUGUUGUCAUGUUUGGUAUUAAUUGUGUUAUGUGAUGGUGUGAUCAACUUGCUAUGGUAGACGUGGGCAUGUGUCAAGUGAUCAUGAAAGUGGUGAGUGUUUAUGAGGGUGUUUGUUUCCAGGGACUUAUUGGUUUAGGGACUUGAACAAGUCCUUAUAAGUCCCAUCUAAACCAAAUAGGAGGGACUUAUAGGGACUUAAAGUGGGCAUUUGGGACUUAUGCAAUAAGACUCUCAAGGAGAGUCUUAUAGGGACUUAUAGUUGUAAUAUGGUCUUAUAGGGACUUAUAAGUCCCAGGAACCAAACAGGUAGGGACUUUUUAGGGACUUGAGACUUAUAAGUUGGGACUAAAAAAGUCCUAGGACUUAUGAACCAAAGAGGGCCUAUAGCCGUAGGCUCGGGAUUAUUAACCAAGUGAAUGCGUCACUGGCAGAGCGCUCUAUUGUCCCUAGAGAAUGCGCCAUUGACAGAGCGCACUUGAGGCAAGGUAUAAUGUUUGAAACUUAAAUCAGGUGAAUGCGUCCUUGGCGGAGUGCUCUAUUAUUCCUAGAGAAUGUGCCACUGAUAGAGCGCACUUGAGACAAUUCUGAAGUUCUUGUCAUGUUUACUUAGAAUCUUUGGGGUUAUCUUGGGCGAGUAAGUUAGAGGCGGUUGUAAGUUCAGUUAGUGGAGGGAGGUAGCUGAAGACAUUCUUCUCAAAACUAUCUCGUGUGUUUUGUUUGUCAUACUUUACUUGUGGAUGUGCUAUAUCAUUAUGUGUGAAUUGCCAAUACAUUCAAUGUAUUGACCCUUGUGGUUGCAACUUAUCAUGUUACAAGAUUUUCAGAUGAUCAGUGAGAAGGGUUGUGAGUCUUCACUCAGCAUUUCGCCAGUGGGCCUUGAUGGGAUUCAUUGUUUGCUUAUGCUACAUUUCCGCUGUUAUUAUUAAGUAAAGCUAGUUAUGUACUAUGAGUUUGUAAUACUUUAUGAAUUAUGGAUCAUAGGUUAUAGUAAA
RNA transcript from Triticum aestivum (bread wheat), 4456 nucleotides. RefSeq lists it as uncharacterized. NCBI's taxonomy places the organism in Eukaryota, Viridiplantae, Streptophyta, Magnoliopsida, Poales, Poaceae. The transcript has 9 exons. The record is from RefSeq and is a predicted model, not a curated record.